This 103-nucleotide transfer RNA is filed under the name Dactylellina haptotyla CBS 200.50. It matches the Rfam family "tRNA". From Rfam's summary of the family: Transfer RNA (tRNA) molecules are approximately 80 nucleotides in length. Their secondary structure includes four short double-helical elements and three loops (D, anti-codon, and T loops). Further hydrogen bonds mediate the characteristic L-shaped molecular structure. tRNAs have two regions of fundamental functional importance: the anti-codon, which is responsible for specific mRNA codon recognition, and the 3' end, to which the tRNAs corresponding amino acid is attached (by aminoacyl-tRNA synthetases). tRNAs cope with the degeneracy of the genetic code in two manners: having more than one tRNA (with a specific anti-codon) for a particular amino acid; and 'wobble' base-pairing, i.e. permitting non-standard base-pairing at the 3rd anti-codon position. The record is from Rfam by way of RNAcentral. Lineage: Eukaryota; Fungi; Ascomycota; Orbiliomycetes; Orbiliales; Orbiliaceae.
UCCGAUAUGGUGUAGUGGCUAACAUCGCUCGCUUUCAAUUCGCUUCCCAGCUAAGAAUCGAAGCGGUACCGAGCAGCCCCGGGUUCGAUUCCCGGUGUCGGAA